This 468-nucleotide ribosomal RNA is filed under the name uncultured bacterium. RNAcentral's name for it is "partial 16S ribosomal RNA". It matches the Rfam family "Bacterial small subunit ribosomal RNA", at positions 28 to 507 of the family's 1533-position model. The record is from RNAcentral.
GACGAACGCUGGCGGCAUGCUUAACACAUGCAAGUCGAACGGAAAGGCCCUGCUUUUUUGGGGACCGCGAGUGGCGAACGGGUGAGUAACACGUGAGUAACCUGCCCUUGACUUUGGGAUGACUUCAGGUAACUGGGUCUAAUAACAGAUAGGAGCUCCUGCUGCAUGGUGGGGGGGGGCAAGUUUCGUCGGUUGGGGCUGGACUCGCGGGUUAUCAUCUUGUUGGUGGGGUAGUGGCUUACCACGGCUUUGACGGGUAGACGGCCUGAGAGGGUGGCCGGCCACAUUGGGCCUGAGAUACGCCCCAGUCGCGUACGGGAGGCAGCAGUGGGGAACAUUGUACAGUGGGCGGGAGUGUGUUGCGGCAACGCCGCGUGCGGGAUGAAGGCUUGCGGGUUGUAAACCGCUUUGGCCUGAGACGAAGCGUGAGUGACGGUAAUGGGUAAAGAAGCACCGGCUAACUACGUG